Molecule: ribosomal RNA, 465 nt
Filed under: uncultured bacterium
Lineage: Bacteria
Description: partial 16S ribosomal RNA
Rfam family: Bacterial small subunit ribosomal RNA
Source: RNAcentral
GACGAACGCUGGCGGCGUGCUUAACACAUGCAAGUCGAACGGAAAGGCCCUGCUUGCAGGGUACUCGAGUGGCGAACGGGUGAGUAACACGUGGGUGAUCUGCCCUGCACUUCGGGAUAAGCCUGGGAAACUGGGUCCAAUACCGGAUAGGAGCCACUUUUAGUGUGAUGGUUGGAAAGUUUUUUCGGUGUAGGAUGAGCUCGCGGCCUAUCGGCUUGUUGGUGGGGUAAUGGCCUACCAAGGCGGCGACGGGUAGCCGGCCUGAGAGAGUGGACGGCCACAUUGGGACUGAGAUACGGCCCAGACUCCUACGGGAGGCAGCAGUGGGGAAUAUUGCACAAUGGGCGCAAGCCUGAUGCAGCGACGCCGCGUGGGUGAUGACGGCCUUCGUGUUGUAAGCGCCUUACGCUAGGGACGAAGCUUUUUGUGACGGUACCUAGAUAAGAAGCACCGGCUAACUACGUG